This 208-nucleotide unclassified non-coding RNA is filed under the name fungal sp. RNAcentral's name for it is "partial internal transcribed spacer region". The stretch from base 1 to 46 matches the Rfam family "Eukaryotic small subunit ribosomal RNA", at positions 1786 to 1831 of the family's 1831-position model. Lineage: Eukaryota; Fungi. The record is from RNAcentral.
AAGUCGUAACAAGGUCUUCGUAGGUGAACCUGCGGAGGGAUCAUUAGUGAUUUCCAGGGGAGUCCCUCUUCAUCAGAGAAGGCCCCGUCACUAUACCUUACACUUGUGCAUUGUCCUUUUUUUUUAACUCUGUGUAUUCGAAGCCGUCUUGUGAUAAAACCUUUGAUAAACGAAAAAAAAACUUUCAGCAAUGGAUCUCUUGGCUCUC